CACCCUCUCUCCCUCACCCAUUUCUUCUCCCUCCCCCUAGUCGUGCAUGACUAAGGGAAGGGGUGGGUGAGAUAAAACAGGUGGCGGGUGGAGGAGAGAGAGAUGGGGGGAUAGAAGGAGCACAGAAAAGAAAAGAAAAGAAAAAAAGAUGGUAGUGAUGGUGGUGAGCUAAGAGGUAGGGGAGGAAAAAAAAGAAAGGAAAGAAGGAAUUUUUUUUUAUUUAUUUUUUUUUGUAUGUUGAAGUGUGUAUUUUAAAAAUUUUGGGAAAAUUUUUGAAGUCU
This 281-nucleotide long non-coding RNA is filed under the name Coffea arabica (coffee). RNAcentral's name for it is "long non-coding RNA (CARA_LNC005287)". Lineage: Eukaryota; Viridiplantae; Streptophyta; Magnoliopsida; Gentianales; Rubiaceae. The record is from RNAcentral.